UCAUAAAACAGGGGUCCCGCAUGGGAAUAUUUGUUAAAGAUUUAUCGGUUGCGGAUGGGCAUGCGUACCAUUAGGUAGUUGGUGAGGUAACGGCUCACCAAGCCAUCGAUGGUUAGGGGUUCUGAGAGGAAGGUCCCCCACACUGGUACUGAGACACGGACCAGACUCCUACGGGAGGCAGCAGUGAGGAAUAUUGGUCAAUGGGCGAGAGCCUGAACCAGCCAAGUCGCGUGAAGGAUGACUGCCCUAUGGGUUGUAAACUUCUUUUACAGGGGAAUAAAAUGAGAUACGUGUAUUUUAUUGCAUGUACCUUGUGAAUAAGCAUCGGCUAACUCCGUGCCAGCAGCCGCGGUAAUACGGAGGAUGCGAGCGUUAUCCGGAUUUAUUGGGUUUAAAGGGUGCGUAGGUGGGCUGUUAAGUCCGCGGUGAAAGUUUGUCGCUUAACGAUAAAAUUGCCGUUGAAACUGGUAGUCUUGAGUAUAGAUGAAGUAGGCGGAAUGCGUGGUGUAGCGGUGAAAUGCAUAGAGAUCACGCAGAACUCCGAUUGCGAAGGCAGCUUAC
Molecule: ribosomal RNA, 561 nt
Filed under: Tannerella forsythia
Lineage: Bacteria; Pseudomonadati; Bacteroidota; Bacteroidia; Bacteroidales; Tannerellaceae
Description: bacterial SSU rRNA
Rfam family: Bacterial small subunit ribosomal RNA
Source: RNAcentral